This 1535-nucleotide ribosomal RNA is filed under the name Bacteroides ovatus. RNAcentral describes it as "bacterial SSU rRNA". It matches the Rfam family "Bacterial small subunit ribosomal RNA". The record is from RNAcentral. Lineage: Bacteria; Pseudomonadati; Bacteroidota; Bacteroidia; Bacteroidales; Bacteroidaceae.
UUUACAAUGAAGAGUUUGAUCCUGGCUCAGGAUGAACGCUAGCUACAGGCUUAACACAUGCAAGUCGAGGGGCAGCAUUUUAGUUUGCUUGCAAACUGAAGAUGGCGACCGGCGCACGGGUGAGUAACACGUAUCCAACCUGCCGAUAACUCCGGAAUAGCCUUUCGAAAGAAAGAUUAAUACCGGAUAGCAUACGAAUAUCGCAUGAUAUUUUUAUUAAAGAAUUUCGGUUAUCGAUGGGGAUGCGUUCCAUUAGUUUGUUGGCGGGGUAACGGCCCACCAAGACUACGAUGGAUAGGGGUUCUGAGAGGAAGGUCCCCCACAUUGGAACUGAGACACGGUCCAAACUCCUACGGGAGGCAGCAGUGAGGAAUAUUGGUCAAUGGGCGAGAGCCUGAACCAGCCAAGUAGCGUGAAGGAUGAAGGCUCUAUGGGUCGUAAACUUCUUUUAUAUGGGAAUAAAGUUUUCCACGUGUGGAAUUUUGUAUGUACCAUAUGAAUAAGGAUCGGCUAACUCCGUGCCAGCAGCCGCGGUAAUACGGAGGAUCCGAGCGUUAUCCGGAUUUAUUGGGUUUAAAGGGAGCGUAGGUGGAUUGUUAAGUCAGUUGUGAAAGUUUGCGGCUCAACCGUAAAAUUGCAGUUGAAACUGGCAGUCUUGAGUACAGUAGAGGUGGGCGGAAUUCGUGGUGUAGCGGUGAAAUGCUUAGAUAUCACGAAGAACUCCGAUUGCGAAGGCAGCUCACUAGACUGUCACUGACACUGAUGCUCGAAAGUGUGGGUAUCAAACAGGAUUAGAUACCCUGGUAGUCCACACAGUAAACGAUGAAUACUCGCUGUUUGCGAUAUACAGUAAGCGGCCAAGCGAAAGCAUUAAGUAUUCCACCUGGGGAGUACGCCGGCAACGGUGAAACUCAAAGGAAUUGACGGGGGCCCGCACAAGCGGAGGAACAUGUGGUUUAAUUCGAUGAUACGCGAGGAACCUUACCCGGGCUUAAAUUGCAACAGAAUAUAUUGGAAACAGUAUAGCCGUAAGGCUGUUGUGAAGGUGCUGCAUGGUUGUCGUCAGCUCGUGCCGUGAGGUGUCGGCUUAAGUGCCAUAACGAGCGCAACCCUUAUCUUUAGUUACUAACAGGUUAUGCUGAGGACUCUAGAGAGACUGCCGUCGUAAGAUGUGAGGAAGGUGGGGAUGACGUCAAAUCAGCACGGCCCUUACGUCCGGGGCUACACACGUGUUACAAUGGGGGGUACAGAAGGCGGCUACCUGGUGACAGGAUGCUAAUCCCAAAAACCUCUCUCAGUUCGGAUCGAAGUCUGCAACCCGACUUCGUGAAGCUGGAUUCGCUAGUAAUCGCGCAUCAGCCAUGGCGCGGUGAAUACGUUCCCGGGCCUUGUACACACCGCCCGUCAAGCCAUGAAAGCCGGGGGUACCUGAAGUACGUAACCGCAAGGAGCGUCCUAGGGUAAAACUGGUAAUUGGGGCUAAGUCGUAACAAGGUAGCCGUACCGGAAGGUGCGGCUGGAACACCUCCUUUCUG